Molecule: long non-coding RNA, 256 nt
Organism: Polyodon spathula (Mississippi paddlefish)
Lineage: Eukaryota; Metazoa; Chordata; Actinopteri; Acipenseriformes; Polyodontidae
Exons: 3
Source: RefSeq, a predicted model, not a curated record
CAGCAGUCCAACGUGUUCUCCUGUCUGCUUAGAAGUAAAACACCCAAACCAGACUGGGAAUCCAAACUCCACAUAUCCAGGGAUUUUUUCCCAGGAGUCUCUGGAUGGAUGGUGGCUUUCUGCUUGACUUUAGCUCUCAGUAUUGGAGCCAUUCCUCUGCUGGUGAUCCAAUGGAAAAGAAUGGAUAGAAAGUUGAAACUGUGUGAAGUUAAAGGUAAGUGAAGACUUUAAUAAACAGACUGCAAACUCAUUCCAG